GAAUCUCAGGCGUCAUUGGCAUAUGGGGACUCAUCGCGCUGGGGCUGCUGUCCUGGGGAUCUGCUAUAGCUUCUUCUAGCAUCAGGAGGUGGUGGCGGCGACCUGCUCACGUCUCGGGCUCCCGGUGGUGACCUGCUGUUAUUUCUGGGAGGAGGUGGUGGUGGUGACCUGCUCAUUUCUCGGGCUCCCCGUGGUGACCUGCUGUUAUUUCUGGGAGGAGGCGGCGGCAGCGGCGGUGACCUGCUGAGACUCCGUGCACGAGAUCCUGGUGGUGACCUGCUGUAACUUCGCCUCCUAGGAGAACGAUCUCGUGGGCUGUAGCUCCUGAAAAAACCCAACAUUUGUUUUCAGGUUUAACACAAAAAUAAUCCAUUGAAAAGGCUGCUAGCAAGGAAAGAAUACAUGGAUCUGUAUUUUAUGC
This 421-nucleotide long non-coding RNA is filed under the name Sorghum bicolor (sorghum). RNAcentral's name for it is "long non-coding RNA (SBIC_LNC007303)". Lineage: Eukaryota; Viridiplantae; Streptophyta; Magnoliopsida; Poales; Poaceae. The record is from RNAcentral.